AACGCUAGCUACAGGCUUAACACGUGCAAGUCGAGGGGCAGCAUGGUCUUAGCUUGCUAAGGCCGAUGGCGACCGGCGCACGGGGGAGUAACACGUAUCCAACCUGCCGUCUACUCUUGGACAGCCUUCUGAAAGGAAGAUUAAUACAAGAUGGCAUCAUGAGUUCACAUGUUCACAUGAUUAAAGGUAUUCCGGUAGACGAUGGGGAUGCGUUCCAUUAGAUAGUAGGCGGGGUAACGGCCCACCUAGUCUUCGAUGGAUAGGGGUUCUGAGAGGAAGGUCCCCCACAUUGGAACUGAGACACGGUCCAAACUCCUACGGGAGGCAGCAGUGAGGAAUAUUGGUCAAUGGGCGCAGGCCUGAACCAGCCAAGUAGCGUGAAGGAUGACUGCCCUAUGGGUUGUAAACUUCUUUUAUAAAGGAAUAAAGUCGGGUAUGUAUACCCGUUUGCAUGUACUUUAUGAAUAAGGAUCGGCUAACUCCGUGCCAGCAGCCGCGGUAAUACGGAGGAUCCGAGCGUUAUCCGGAUUUAUUGGGUUUAAAGGGAGCGUAGAUGGAUGUUUAAGUCAGUUGUGAAAGUUUGCGGCUCAACCGUAAAAUUGCAGUUGAUACUGGAUAUCUUGAGUGCAGUUGAGGCAGGCGGAAUUCGUGGUGUAGCGGUGAAAUGCUUAGAUAUCACGAAGAACUCCGAUUG
This 694-nucleotide ribosomal RNA is filed under the name uncultured bacterium. Its description in RNAcentral is "bacterial SSU rRNA". It matches the Rfam family "Bacterial small subunit ribosomal RNA", at positions 32 to 715 of the family's 1533-position model. The record is from RNAcentral.